ACCAACAGGGAAUUGCCCUAGUAACGGCGAAGUGAAGCGGCAACAGCUCAAAUUUGAAAUCUGGCGUAAGCCCGAGUUGUAAUUUGUAGAGGAUGCUUCUGGGUAGCGACCGAUCUAAGUUCCUUGGAACAGGACGUCAUAGAGGGUGAGAAUCCCGUAUGUGACCGGCCCGCACCCUUUACGUAGCUCCUUCGACGAGUCGAGUUGUUUGGGAAUGCAGCUCUAAAUGGGAGGUAAAUUUCUUCUAAAGCUAAAUACCGGCCAGAGACCGAUAGCGCACAAGUAGAGUGAUCGAAAGAUGAAAAGUACUUUGGAAAGAGAGUUAAAAAGCACGUGAAAUUGUUGAAAGGGAAGCGCCUGCAACCAGACUUCGUGGCAGUGUUCCGCCGGUCUUCUGACCGGUUUAUUCUCUGUCGCGAGGCCAUCAUCGUCUAGGCCCGCCGGAUAAGACCUUAGGAAUGUAGCUCACCUUCGGGGGAGUGUUAUAGCCUAUGGUGAUGCGGCGAGGCUUGGGCGAGGUCCGCGCUUCGGCAAGGAUGAUGGCGUAAUGGUUGUCGGCGGCCCGUCUUGAAACACGGACCAAGGAGUCUAACAUCUAUGCGAGUGUUCGGGUGUCAAACCCCUACGCGUAAUGAAAGUGAACGGAGGUGGGAACCGCAAGGUGCACCAUCGACCGAUCCUGAUGUCCUCGGAUGGAUUUGAGUAAGAGCAUAGCUGUUGGGACCCGAAAGAUGGUGAACUAUGCCUGAAUAGGGUGAAGCCAGAGGAAACUCUGGUGGAGGCUCGCAGCGGUUCUGACGUGCAAAUCGAUCGUCAAAUUUGGGUAUAGGGGCGAAAGACUAAUCGAACCAUCUAGUAGCUGGUUCCUGCCGAAGUUUCCCUCAGGAUAGCAGUAACGUUUUUAAAACCCCCAAAAAGGGUAAUUUGUCUAAAAAGAAGGGGGGGGGGCGGGGGGGGGGGACACCCCAAUGGGGUUUUCCACCCUCCUCGCCACCAGACUUCCCGGAAAAGGUGGCCCUUAACGUUUCCCCCUCCCCCCCACCGCGCAGAACACAUACCCUGUAAGAAAAGAGGGGGGGGGCGCCGCCGCCACCCCCCGGGAGCCCGUUUUUUUUCUUUUUUCUCUUUGUUUGGUUUUUAAGAGGUGCGGGGAA
RNAcentral lists this ribosomal RNA (1154 nucleotides) under Septoria sp. RNAcentral's name for it is "partial large subunit ribosomal RNA". It matches the Rfam family "Eukaryotic large subunit ribosomal RNA", at positions 64 to 1112 of the family's 3401-position model. Lineage: Eukaryota; Fungi; Ascomycota; Dothideomycetes; Mycosphaerellales; Mycosphaerellaceae. The record is from RNAcentral.